GUCUCCGGCCAUACCACUCUGGCAACGCCCGUUCUCGUCUGUUCUCGGAAGCUAAGCAGGGUCGGGCCUGGUUAGUACUUGGAUGGGGAGACUUCCUUGUAAUACCGGGUGCCGUAGGCU
RNAcentral lists this ribosomal RNA (120 nucleotides) under Callipepla squamata (scaled quail). Lineage: Eukaryota; Metazoa; Chordata; Aves; Galliformes; Odontophoridae. The record is from RNAcentral.